This is a long non-coding RNA of Carassius gibelio (silver crucian carp), 872 nucleotides long. RefSeq lists it as uncharacterized. Lineage: Eukaryota; Metazoa; Chordata; Actinopteri; Cypriniformes; Cyprinidae. The record is from RefSeq and is a predicted model, not a curated record. The transcript has 4 exons.
CGAGACCGAGUUCCAGACCGAGUCUGAGUCUCAAGUACUCAACACUGGAUCCAACCUCCAAAUGACAAAACUAAUUUGAAUGAACAAAUUAAUAAAAUAUUGUGUGAUCUAUAAAUGAAAGAGUUAAAACAAUGCAAUAAGUUUUAUUUUGAUUGGCAUGACUUCAAUAAGUAGCCUAUAUAGAUCUCAUUGGCAUAAUCACAGUGCUCUCCAGAUCAUAGACCAGCUAUUGUACAAUACAUAGCUAUGCUAAAUACAGUACUGUUUAUCACUUUAUGAUUUGCACUUUACAAAAUUGCCAGUGCAUGCAGAAAUAUUACCCGCAGAUUCUUGAAUUAGACUGAAUUAGAUUGCCUGCUAAAACAGUUCACAUAAAAAAGAAGGUAUUUAGUCAUUUCCUGAGACUAAGAGUAAACUCUCACUCAGGAAGUAAUGUGCCAAGUUUGACAAUCUGUUUUAUGAGAACUACUCAUCGACAUAAAACAUAUGCUCAGAGAUCAUAUUAAUGCCAAAAUGGAAGUUGAUUUGGCCUUUUUGAAGUCCGCAAAAGGUCUACUGAAAAUGUCAGAAAUGGUAUGUGUCUUUGUGGCUUUUGUGCGUUAUGCAGUGGCAUCUAGGCCGCCCUACAUUGCAGCGACAUGCAUGGAAUUUUUCAUCACACUUGGUUUUUUUCUGCUCUACCUACUGAAACUCAACAAGAUUUUCACUCUCUUCUUCUGGCCUCUUAUUCUGCACUGAUGUGUAUUCUUAGCCUGGUAGCAGUUUCCACAUACACAGUGAAGGCCACUUUGAGCGGAGGGAUCGUGGGUUUUGUGGCUGCAGCCUUGUGGUCUUUGGAUGGUUAUAUCCAUUUCAAAAAAAUCAAAUUCAAC